CCGUGAGCGUGAGAGAGAGUUCCACUGCGACCUAGCUUGUGUUUCAACGUUGCCGUCGAAAGAGAACUCCAAAGAUUAUGCGCGGCCGCUGCCACCGUGACCCUGUCGACAAAGGAGAGUUCCACUGCGACCUCUACCUCUCUGUGUUGUGUCUCUGCCUGUGCUGCCUGUGCUGCUGUAAUUCCCUUCCAAAGUCUCUACUUCCUCCCCUUCCCAAUUCUCAUAUCCUCGUCCUUACUCAUGUUCUGUAAAGUAAUCCCCUUUCCUUUCUCUCUUUAAUUUAUACAAUUUUUAUCUCUUACUUGCAAAAGAUUAGAGCUUGAGCAUCGUGGGUUAAUGGGGUGCCUCAUUUGCUUCUUUCUUCAAUGCUUCAUGUAAAUGUUGUUAGUGUUAGUGGUUAAUGUUGUUCAAGAGAGUACUGAAUUGGGUAACUAUGUAAUUGGUCAGCACCAAGUUAGUUUUAUGUUGGCUACUGCCUCUAAAGAGUACAAUUUUGUGGUUUCUAACAAAUUUCUGCUAGCAGUGGAGACAAUGUUGCUACCAUUUAUCUUUUUGUAAUAGAAUGAUUUAUGUUUAAGUGCUAGAGGUGAUGAAUUUCUAGAUUUGUAGCGUGAUACAUAUUCGUAUUCAAUACUUUCAUUUUUGUUACCCUCUUAAAGGUUGUUGUUUUUUUAGUGGUUCACAGUGGUGUGAUGCAUGGAUGAAUAUUAACUUAGAGCACUAUUUAAUAGAAAGGAAAAUGCCUUCGGAAUUCAGCAAAAAGCUUCCAUAUGCUUGCUAUCCUUGCGAACAUGGCUCGAGAGGUGUUAGCCAUUCCUAUCUCUACCGUAGCAUCAGAGUGUGCAUUCAGUACAAGAGGAAGAGUGGUUAGUCCUUAUCGUAGUUGCCUAACGCCUAAAAUAGUGGAAGUGCUUGUUUGUACACAAGAUUGGUUAAAAGGAACACCUUUCUCUAUACGUUUUGAUGAGGAUCCUAAAGAACUUGAUAAAUUUGAGCAAGAGAUAACCUCUCAAGAUGAAGUGGGACCUUCAAGUGCUGCUAUUAAUUUGGAUGAUUGAAGCUUUGCCACAAUUUGUUAGUUAUCUAAAGUACAUGUGGUGGUUGAAGAUGAUGACAAGGAAGUGGUUGCUCAAGCAUGCACUAGUCUGGCUGAUAUCAUCAUAGAUUAUGGUUUUGCAACUCUUGAGCCUUACUUGGCACAGCUUGUUGAUGCAACUUCAUUGUUGCCUCGGGAGCAUUCUGCUUGGCAAUAGAGUCAGACACUGAAAUCUCGCAAUGCUUUGUCUUUUGAGAAAGAUGAUCUGCGUCAGAAGAAUGUCUCGUAUGCCA
Vigna angularis (adzuki bean) is the source of this 1329-nucleotide long non-coding RNA. RefSeq lists it as uncharacterized. Lineage: Eukaryota; Viridiplantae; Streptophyta; Magnoliopsida; Fabales; Fabaceae. The record is from RefSeq and is a predicted model, not a curated record. The transcript has 4 exons.